RNAcentral lists this ribosomal RNA (325 nucleotides) under uncultured eukaryote. Its description in RNAcentral is "partial 18S ribosomal RNA". It matches the Rfam family "Eukaryotic small subunit ribosomal RNA", at positions 1470 to 1796 of the family's 1831-position model. The record is from RNAcentral.
CCCUUAGAUGUUCUGGGCCGCACGCGCGCUACACUGAUUCAUGCACUAAGUAUAUAACCUUGGUAGAAAUGCUUGGGUAAUCUUUGAAACUGAAUCGUGCUGGGGAUUGGAGCUUGUAAUUAUUCUCCAUGAACGAGGAAUUCCUAGUAAACGCGAGUCAUCAGCUCGCAUUGAUUACGUCCCUGCCCUUUGUACACACCGCCCGUCGCUCCUACCGAUUGAGUGAUUCGGUGAAUAAUUCGGACUGCAGCAUUGCUUGGAUUCCGAGCUUUGCAGCGGAAAGUUUAGUGAACCUCAUCACUUAGAGGAAGGAGAAGUCGUAACA